GGUCUUCAAGCUCUCGUGGGAGAGUGCCGGUCUGAAAAACCGGAAGGUAGGGUUCGACUCCCGGGAGACCACCA
This 74-nucleotide transfer RNA is filed under the name Phaeodactylibacter sp. RNAcentral describes it as "tRNA-Phe". It matches the Rfam family "tRNA". From Rfam's summary of the family: Transfer RNA (tRNA) molecules are approximately 80 nucleotides in length. Their secondary structure includes four short double-helical elements and three loops (D, anti-codon, and T loops). Lineage: Bacteria; Pseudomonadati; Bacteroidota; Saprospiria; Saprospirales; Haliscomenobacteraceae. The record is from RNAcentral.